Molecule: ribosomal RNA, 496 nt
Filed under: uncultured bacterium
Lineage: Bacteria
Description: partial 16S ribosomal RNA
Rfam family: Bacterial small subunit ribosomal RNA
Source: RNAcentral
AUGAACGCUGGCGGCGUGCCUAAUCCAUGCCCGUCGAGCGAACGGACGAGAAGCUUGCUUCUCUGAUGUUAGCGGCGGACGGGUGAGUAACACGUGGAUAACCUACCUAUAAGACUGGGAUAACUUCGGGAAACCGUAGCUAAUACCGGAUAAUAUUUUGAACCGCAUGGUUCAAAAGUGAAAGACGGUCUUGCUGUCACUUAUAGAUGGAUCCGCGCUGCAUUAGCUAGUUGGUAAGGUAACGGCUUACCAAGGCAACGAUGCAUAGCCGACCUGAGAGGGUGAUCGGCCACACUGGAACUGAGACACGGUCCAGACUCCUACGGGAGGCAGCAGUAGGGAAUCUUCCGCAAUGGGCGAAAGCCUGACGGAGCAACGCCGCGUGAGUGAUGAAGGUCUUCGGAUCGUAAAACUCUGUUAUUAGGGAAGAACAUAUGUGUAAGUAACUGUGCACAUCUUGACGGUACCUAAUCAGAAAGCCACGGCUAACUACGUG